RNAcentral lists this long non-coding RNA (5776 nucleotides) under Zostera marina. Its description in RNAcentral is "long non-coding RNA (ZMAR_LNC000174)". Lineage: Eukaryota; Viridiplantae; Streptophyta; Magnoliopsida; Alismatales; Zosteraceae. The record is from RNAcentral.
UUUAUAGAGCUAUAUUAUUACGAAAAUACCCCUAAAUGGUUAACCGGUUUUUAAACCUUGGUGUUGCAAUGAAUUAUAGGAUGUUAUAAUAAUUAAUAAAUAUAUGUAUUAUAAUAAUUUUUCUAUCCAAUAUAUUUUUAACUAAAAAAUUUAAUUAAUAUAAUUUAGAUGUAUAAAAAAAUAUUAAUUUCCUAUAGUUUUAUAAAUAUUUACGAAAAUGCCACUGGCGCAUCUGAGCGCAUAUGCACGCAUAUGCUCAGAUGCUCCAGGUGGCGGCAGAGGCGCAUCCGGAACCUUGGAUCUGAAUACUAAAGGAAGAGCUACUGUCAAAUAGCGGGGAUAUGACGAUAUUUACUAUGCAAUUGUAGGAGACUAACCUUCUGAGGCAGUACAGUUAGUUACUUUACUACUAGAUGACAUAGCCAUAUAGGAAAGUGUCGAUGAAUACUCAUCUUCUUUAUUUCUCAUUUUUCAAUCUCCACUAUGUAUUAUGACAGACAUCAAGUUUUUCAGGUGAGUAGGCGUUCAUGCGAUUGAGCUGGUUGCAUGAACGCCUAGGCACCAGAGUAAAUUUUUGCCUAACAUCCCCUGUAUUUUUUUAAUAUUACAAUAAAUACCUGUAUUUUCAAAAUAUUAAUAGAAAUAAAUGAAGUCUUAAAUCAUUUUAGUAGCAAAAUAGAAGUACUUAGUUAAAAAAAAAUUAAAUAGUAGUUACUAGUUAUGAUCUUAGCAGUACUUAGUCUUAAACUCUUAAUACAAAAAGAGUGAAAAUAGUCAAAAUACAACUAGGAGAAGUUAAUUGAAUGAAUCGUCAUCAGAAUUUCUUAUAGUCAUGCAUGUGUCUGGUCACUCGACAUCAUGAUCAUCUUUGGCUCUUCUACCUCGACUAUAUGUUCUAGUAGAUACUAGAUAGUGCAUCUGUUUCAUUGACACCUAUUGCAUUCUCAACACUUGCAUUUUAAUUCUGAGGUGCUUAAUUCUCAACACAUGUAGGUCCAAGUCCCUACAUUCUAGCUUGCAUUUUAAUUGCUUUCAUUUAGCCUUUUAUUGUAGUUAAUGUACACAGGCUUGCCCAUUCGAGUCACCUCAAGACGAUUGCGUCACUUAGUAUGAAUCUACUGAUUUACAUAGGAAUUUGGAAAUUGUCAAAAUAUGAAGUUCUGAUUUUUGAGUAAAUAAUGAUUGGUACGAGAACUUACGAGGUUGAAUGUGCUCCAGUUUCUUUCACUCCCCUUCCCUGUUGAGCCAGGGAAGGUAUUUAUUGGACAUCUCCCUGGGCCUCCUGGGCCCAAUUGUCUGUUCGGUCACGUGUAGGUAGACCAAAUAUACUCCACCAUGCAACUUUAAUCACACAUUUCAUCAUUGACCAAUCAAUUAAAAAUCAAGGGUGCUACUUGAUGACAUUCUCUUCAACUUGUGUUUCUUCAUUUGACGGGGGGACAUAAUCUUCAUCACAAGACGACAUAAUCUACUUUAGAAAAUAUCUAAAAAAUCAUAUCUAGGAUUUUACCCUAUCAUUUAAGUAUUUAGGGUUUACCUAAAAAGACAAGGAUGGAGAUGAUAAGUUGAUAACAGUGGAGUGGAACACUAAUAUAGAACAGGAUUGUUCUAUAGGGGAAUGAUAAGAAGAUCUGGGAAUACUUCUUAAAUCGGGAGUGAGAUAAGAAUCAACAAGGCAUCCACCAAGGAUUCAGAUCUGAUCGGAAAUGGUGGAAGAAAAUAAAGAGAAUGGAAGAAAAGAAAAACAGGAAAGUAGAAAAAUCGGGGAGAGAGAAAUACCUUCACUAAUAUCAAAAAAACUGUCCUCCUUUGGGUCCACUUGGUCUUUUAUACUCACAUUGUGUGUAGUGGACAACCUCCACAAUGUGAGUUAAUUGGCUUCAAAGGUGAAGCACAAUGACUCGAGCCAUCUCGAGCCAAGCUUGAGCCUGUUCAUGGGUGUGCUCAGUUAAUUGAGGCCCUCUGUUAAUACUUCCAGUAUUAGGGGUAAAAGGGUCAUUUGCAGAAUUACAUAAAGAACUAAGAUGCUCUGCAUCAAAAACACUGGAGUGGAGAACAUUGGAGUGGAGAACACGUCGGAGUCGCCUGGUUGAAGCUCGCCGGAAUCGACGUUCGUCGGAGGUCGCCGCCACCACGCCAGUGGUCUGGAAGAAGGGAGAAAUAAGGGGUGGAUGGUCUGAAAAAUCAGAAAUAGGUAAAUAAAACCCUAUUUCUGAUUUUUAGAUCUAUGUUUAUAUUUAAUUUUAUAUAAUUAAUCGAUAUAUGGAUUAAACGGAUCUAACUGGAUCCGCUUAACCCGUCCAGCACCUGAAGGAGUUGGCUCGCAUGAUCGCCUAGGCGUCGCCUUGGCGAUAACAUGAAAAACCUUGACGGACAUUGCUUUUCACUAUUCAUGAAAACUUUACUUUUAUGAAAAAAAUCAUCUAAGGAGGAUGGAGAUUCUAAUACUCAAAUCUUGACAAAUUUUGGAACAUCCCUCCCUCAAUUUACUACCACAAUAUGUGGGAAACUUUAUCCAACUAUGAAAUGACCCCCUCCAGUUAAUAAAUUAGCAAAUCAAAGCUAGAACACAGAAAGUCCAAUAUCUGAUGUUGAGGUUGAUAUGGUAAAUUGAUAAUUGUGGUCCCAGAGACAGAACUUUUGAAGAGAAACACCAUCCAAGAAACCAGGAACUCACCCAAAAAUACUAUGGACCUGAUUCCCUCUCUCAAGGAAACGCAACCUAAUAAAUCAGAACCAGAUAUGAUUCACUUUCUCAUAGUUUUGAUUCCCAAAUUUACAAUCUCACCAUGGAGAAAGAUCGUCAAGAUAGUUGCUUUUAAAAAAAGAUCGUUAAGGUCAGAAAUCCUUCUCGACGUUUGCCUCCGAUGUGCUAAAAAAGAGACUUGAACUCCUCUUCGAAAGCACUGAGAACCAUACACAUAAGAGUACGAUCAAGAUCUCCUAAAAAUAAAAUCCAGAUGGGGACCAAAAUCUCUAUGAAGGUCAGCAUCACAAAACACCACCAUAUUUGCCGAUUCUCCUGAGACUGUCACAUUUUUUUUAAAUUGAAAUGUAUCUCAGAAUCUAUUUUACAACUUUCCAAUGAUCUUCACUGGGAUUAGACAAGAGUCUACUGACAAAUCUCACUCCAUGGGAAAGGUCUGGUCUAGGGAAAAUCAUUGCAUACAUUAAGCUCCCCACAGCUGAGGCAUAAGACACACCUUUCAUCUUCUCUUGUUCUUCAACUGUCUUGGCCGUUGGAUGAUUGAAAGAGAAUCAGAGAGUUUGAACCCUGAAGCAAGAAGAUGGUUUGUUUUCCUUGAUGCCUCCAGUAUUUUCUCCAAAUACUUCUUUUGAUUUAAUUUCAGACUUCCAUCUUUUCUGAUAAUCCUCAUGCCAAGGAUUUAUUUUGCAGGUCCAUGAUCCUUUGUUUUAAACUUCUUUGAUAGUUGCUCUUUCAUGCUUGAACUGCUUGUAACCCGUCAUCUACAUAAAUUUCUAGAAAUACAUAACAGGCAAUAGGUUUUCUUUGCUAGUAGCAAAAGUCUGCUCCACAUCUUUUGAAACCAAUUCUUUUCACAAAUGGGUCGAAUUUCCUAUACCAUUGUCUAAGGAUCUACUUUAAACCAUACAAGCUUCUCAAGCUUGUAUACCAAUUCUGAAUCACUUCUAGUAAAUUCAAAACAUUUAGGUUUUAAAUGGAAACCUUUAGAUGCUACUAAAUUCAAUACAACUCUGAUUGUAGGAAACCUUGGAGCGACUAUGAGCUUUUCUCAUUUCCCAAUCUUUUUUUUUGAAAGCAAUUAAAUUUCAUUAAAAUAAGGACAAUGCCCAAGUCACAUAGAAAAAAAUCUCAUUUCCUAAUCUAAUGUAACCAGGUUAGUGAUGUUGAGAAAAUCAGAGGAUGAACUCCACAUAUGUAAUAAUUCCAUAAUAAAUUUGCUUCAAAAAAAAAUCCAUAAUAAAUGUAACUCACCCACAAGGUUUGACACUCAAGGGAAAAUCAAUGCAAUCUCAGAAUCCAUUUAGGAAUAGUUAGGAUCCAUCAACAAAGAAGAGAAUGUAGGAGGAGGAAUUAAGAGAUGAAUUACCUGAGCUAAAAAAAUAUGUUGCAAUUUCAAUUUUUAAAGAAUACUCGUACAGUCGUACUAUAUGAUUAUUGAAUUAGUUUAGUUAUAAAAAUAAUAUUUGACGUAUUUUAUUAUGCUUUUUGUUUGUAGGUUGUAACAAACAAUAAAGCAUUAGGCUGUUUUUAUCUCUCCGAAAAUUUGAAUUUGAAAAAGAAUUAUGAUUUUUUGCAACCAACAGUUUAUAAAGCAUCUAAUGAGCCCCUCUCAUCUUAUGGUUUGUCAAAAUCUCUUAAUAACCAUGGUAAGUAAUUUAAAUUUGAUAUGUUAUUCUACCUAUUCUCUUGUAUUAUUUUGUAUACUUGUUUUUUAAACUGAAGUGAUGAGUUGUUACUCAUCAUGGAUAAGUUCUCAUUAAAGAUUGGAAAAUCCUAUCGAGAAUUAGAUGGCCCAAUUGAGGUUACGAGUGUACUAGGUAAUAGUUCAAGACUAUGUAGCAAGGGUCAGGAUGCGCCUCUGCGCGAUGCGCCACCACCUGAGCACUUGAGAUUUUGCACGCAAAAGCACACCUUUGCGCCAGUGGCAUUUUCGUAAAUAUAUAAAAAUAAGGAAAAUUCAUAUAUUUUUUAUAUACUUAAAAUAUAUCAAAAUACUUUAAGUAGUUUAAAACACAUAGAAUAGUUCAAACUUCAAAUACAAAAUACGAUUUAUAGGUCAUUGUGUGUCCUCUUUGUCUGUUUAUAGAACAAAGGAUGUAUACCUUGUGGUCAAGGUUGGGGUUCAGGUUCAGGUUCUGAUGCAUCACCCUCAUCUUCAUUCUCUUCGAGUUCUUCAACCUCAUGGUCUUCAUCACGAACUUGACUAGUAUAUGGUCUAGAAUGACCACUCCUAGUUGAUGGCCCUGGGUGUUCGGUUUUUAAAAUUUAAAAUUUUUUUAACCUUUUUCCCCUCCAAAUUAGUUCACCGGAAGCUCGCCGGAGGAUCGCUGGAGGAAGGCUUGGAGAAUGCCGCAAAAAUCGGGGGAAGAGCUGGUCGGAGUUGGGAGCAAUGUCUUCCAUUGGACAGCAUAUGCGCAGGUGCGACCCUAUUGGGAGAUGUGCUCGACGGAUCUCCCUUAUUUAAAUAACUUAAAACAGGGUUUGUUUUUAUUUAAAAAAAGGCCAAUUUUUAUUUUAUUUUAAGACCUUAUAAAUUUUUAUGCCAAAAAUUUAUACAUUGGUCCAUGAAAAGAGCUAUAUUAUUUUUAAUAUAAACUCCUCCCACUCUUAAGACUUCAUAUUUGUUUUAGACAAAAUGAAUCUUUAUUUAUAGACCAACCUUCUUUGUGUUUUUUGAAUUAUAUCGAUGUGGGGACUAAAAAAGUGCAGUUAAAUAAAUUAUUAUUAUAAAGUAUUUUUGAUGUUAUAGAUGUAUUAAAGAAGGCCCAACCCAUUACGUUAUUAUUUUUUAAAAGCCUCUUGGGUUAUUUAUUAUUUUCUUUUUAUAAAAGCCUCUCUUUUAGUCUUUUAUAAGUUUAAAGAAAUCUUAGCCGUUUAAAGAGCUAUAUUAUUAUGAAAAAUACCCCUAACCGGUUUUUAAACCUUGGUGUUACAAUGAAUUAUAGGGUAUUAUAAUAAUUAAUAAAUAUAUGUAUUAUAAUAAUUUUUCUAUCCAAUAUAUUUUCAACUAAAAAAUUUAAUUGAUAUAGUUUAGAUAUAUAAAAAAAUAUAUGAAUUUCCUUUAGUUUU